This 103-nucleotide small RNA is filed under the name Salmonella enterica subsp. enterica serovar Enteritidis. RNAcentral's name for it is "partial RtT sRNA". It matches the Rfam family "RtT RNA", at positions 30 to 130 of the family's 130-position model. Rfam says of the family: This family represents a bacterial cis-regulatory element known as RtT RNA. The exact function of RtT is unknown although it is thought that it may be involved in changing the cellular response in relation to amino acid starvation. Lineage: Bacteria; Pseudomonadati; Pseudomonadota; Gammaproteobacteria; Enterobacterales; Enterobacteriaceae. The record is from RNAcentral.
CUUAGACUAAGGUUCGAUUCGAGCGUCAGCGAGAAAGCGUUGCCGCAGGCAACGACCCGAAGGGCGAAGCGCGCAGCGCUGAGUCAUCCUUCCCCCACCACCA